This 94-nucleotide ribosomal RNA is filed under the name Bacillus altitudinis. Lineage: Bacteria; Bacillati; Bacillota; Bacilli; Caryophanales; Bacillaceae. The record is from RNAcentral.
UUUGGUGGCGAUAGCGAAGAGGUCACACCCGUUCCCAUACCGAACACGGAAGUUAAGCUCUUCAGCGCCGAUGGUAGUUGGGGGUUUCCCCCUG